CAGUCGCCACGGUAAAACAGAGGGUGCGAGCGUUAAUCGGAUUUACUGGGCGUAAAGCGUGCGUAGGCGGCUUUUUAAGUCGGAUGUGAAAUCCCUGAGCUUAACUUAGGAAUUGCAUUCGAUACUGGGAAGCUAGAGUAUGGGAGAGGAUGGUAGAAUUCCAGAUGUAGCGGUGAAAUGCGUAGAGAUCUGGAGGAAUACCGAUGGCGAAGGCAGCCAUCUGGCCUAAUACUGACGCUGAGGUACGAAAGCAUGGGGAGCAAACAGGAUUAGAUACCCCUGUAGUCCCUGUCUCUUAUAC
RNAcentral lists this ribosomal RNA (301 nucleotides) under uncultured bacterium. RNAcentral describes it as "partial 16S ribosomal RNA". It matches the Rfam family "Bacterial small subunit ribosomal RNA", at positions 509 to 807 of the family's 1533-position model. The record is from RNAcentral.